GGGCCGUUAGCUCAGUUGGUUAGAGCAGCGGACUCAUAAUCAAGUGGUCUGUGGCGUUAAUGACACAUGCUGUCGAGUUAGCAUCGGCCUA
This 91-nucleotide transfer RNA is filed under the name Variovorax paradoxus. Its description in RNAcentral is "tRNA-Met". The record is from RNAcentral. Lineage: Bacteria; Pseudomonadati; Pseudomonadota; Betaproteobacteria; Burkholderiales; Comamonadaceae.